Molecule: ribosomal RNA, 465 nt
Filed under: uncultured bacterium
Lineage: Bacteria
Description: partial 16S ribosomal RNA
Rfam family: Bacterial small subunit ribosomal RNA
Source: RNAcentral
CCUACGGGAGGCAGCAGUGGGGAAUAUUGCGCAAUGGGCGAAAGCCUGACGCAUCGACGCCGCGUGAGGGAUGAAGGUCUUCGGAUCGUAAACCUCUGUCAGCAGGGAAGAACGGUCACUGUGCUAAUCAGCAGUGAAUUGACGGUACCUGCAAAGGAAGCACCGGCUAACUCCGUGCCAGCAGCCGCGGUAAUACGGAGUGUGCGAGCGUUAAUCGGAAGUACUGGGCGUAAAGCGCUCGUAGGCGGUAUGUCAAGUCAAGGGUGAAAUCCCCGCGCUCAACGUGGGAACUGCCUUUGAAACUGGCAAACUGGAGUGUGUGAGAGGAUAGUGGAAUUCCAGGUGUAGGAGUGAAAUCCGUAGAUAUCUGGUGGAACAUCAGUGACGAAGGCGACUAUCUGGCACAUAACUGACGCUGAGGAGCGAAAGCGUGGGUAGCAAACAGGAUUAGAGACCCGUGUAGUG